This 317-nucleotide ribosomal RNA is filed under the name uncultured eukaryote. Its description in RNAcentral is "partial 18S ribosomal RNA". It matches the Rfam family "Eukaryotic small subunit ribosomal RNA", at positions 1470 to 1796 of the family's 1831-position model. The record is from RNAcentral.
CCCUUAGAUGUCCGGGGCCGCACGCGCGCUACACUGAAGGAAUCAGCGUGGCUCUGUCCCUGGUCCGAAAGGAUUGGGAAACCCGUUGAAUCUCCUUCGUGAUAGGGAUUGGGGCUUGGAACUGUUCCCCAUGAACGAGGAAUUCCCAGUAAGCGCGAGUCAUAAGCUCGCGUUGAUUACGUCCCUGCCCUUUGUACACACCGCCCGUCGCACCUACCGAUUGAAUGGUCCGGUGAAGCCUCCGGAUUGGCGCGCACCUCGGUGCCGCCGAGAAGUUGGCUAAACCUUACCAUUUAGAGGAAGGUGAAGUCGUAACA